ACACACUCUAGCUAUGGCUCGCAUUAUUCGACGGUGUUCAGGGAUAGUUGGUAGUAUCCUACGAGAUGCUAGUUAAGAUAUUUUCCCUUGCUAUAGCCUUUCACGAAAACUCUUAGACUAGUCUUUUGAGAUUCUGAAUUAGUCGCACUUUGCUUAUCCCCCUUAACCUUUCAACAUACUCACGAGUAUAUGGGUCAAUGAGUUGUAAGCUCUUAAAGAAUUAAUUAUCUACCCCUUCCAAUAAUAUAGUUUCAGUCUAUUAUACCUGAGAUGACUUCUAUCUUUAUCAUCUCGCCAUAUGUUGUUUAUCUUGCUGUCUCAUUGGCAACGCAUAAUGCAAGACAUAUAUUUUUCAUCAUUUACUAUCUCCUCGAGGCUUUUCAUUUAUUAAUGAGUUUUCUAUAAUUUUCGUGUCCAAUUAUCCUCGUCUCAUGUCUACAUUUAUGGCUCGAAAUGUGAUCAUAACAAAUAUGAUUGUAGAAUAAGUGCUACUAAAUUUUUGAUUGGGGCCAUAAGUGCUAACUCAAAAAAAAUAGGAGUUUUGCCGCAAAUAUACUAUCUACUUGGACAACUUUUUGAUAGAAGAGGGUUUGGAUGCACAAAUAAUUGGCGGAAGGGAGUUUUGUCACCAAAUGUUUUUAGGGAAUUAUAGCAAAUGACCCCAAAUCAUAACACUUGUAAGUAAAUGUUCUCAUUUUAAAACUUGUACAGAAAUGACCCUUUUAUAUUAUUUAUUAUUUAUAUUAUUUUUUGCCAUAUAAAAAAAAUUAAUAUUUUAUUUUUUAUUUUUUUAGAUUUAGAAAUAAAUUACUUAAAGAUCAUGUUAUAUUUGUAUAAGUUUUGUUAAAAUAUUUUUUUAUUUUAAAAUUAUGUCAAUAUACCAUACAACAAAAUAAAAAUAUAUUGUACGACAAAAUAUAUAUAUACCAACAACUCACAACAACCCGUUAGCUUCUAUUUUAUUAUAUAUAAUGGUGGUAUAUAAUCUUAUUGUCAUGAUAUCUAUUCUAUAUAAAGUGUGCCUAUAUAACUGAAUUGUUUAUGAGAAAUUUAUGGGUGACUUUAAUUUUUUUUUUUUAAUUUUUUAUUCAAAAAUAAUAUUUUUUUUUUGGCUGAGGAUAAAUAUAAAUUGUCAUUAAUACGAUUGACAUUGAAAGCUUAAAAUUCUAAAAAUACGAUUGACACUCUUCUCCCUCUUUCACUAUCAAACGACAUCAAAUUUGUAAUCUACGCAGUAACUCCUUUGAUUUCAAGUAAUAUGCUUUCUUAUUUUUUGUUGAUAAAAAUCCCUCUUUAUCUCCAAAUAGUGCGAUCGGAGAUGAAUCCUCCUCUGAGAAAAGUCUUCCUUCCAUCUUUAUGAAAUAUUCUUCAUCUUCGCUUCGUUAUUGUGAGAUAGUAUCACUCUUUUCUUUUCUUUUAACAAAUUACUUGAGUAGACAUUGAUAUCUGGAAGUUUCUUUCAGCCCUCAAUAACAAUAUUCUCUUCUCUCUCAUUUUAACAAUAUUCUUUCAGCUUUCUCAUUUUAAUUUCUCUCUCUCAAUAACAAUAUUCUCUUCUCUCAGCCCUCUCUUACGUUUCCCUCUCUAUUCAAUCCCUUGGAUUAUGAAACCCAUUUGUGGUCUCAUGAUUGAUGUUUUUCCUAUCAAAGGCUACCGACAUCGAUCCUAUUCCAUUCUCCGUCGCCAUGGUCGCAAUUGGAGGGAAAUUGACGGCAGGCGUAGCCUUGAGCAGUCUUAUUGGAUUAUCAGCGGCAGUGCCCAUAGCCGACAUGACAAUCGAUGCUUGUUUUAGCGAGGAAUAGCAUUGAGAUUCACCAUCUUGGUCCUCACCGACUGAGUUUAGUAAUCAGUACAAGGCAACAAUUAGGGUUGAUUAUUUGACGAAAGAGGUUCAGUUUGAAGACAGGCUAUUCACACUGCAGGCUAUAGGAGCACUGCUUCUUUGGUGAAGAAGUAUGGGGCUAACAUAACUAUUGUGGGAACAUCGCCGCUUUGUCGACACUACCAUAUUCAAUUUAUCAACGAAAAAAUGGACAAUCCAGUUAUAUGCAGACUCGGUUAAAAUGAAAAGUGUAGAAUACAAAAUUACACUAUUGUCUCUAUCGAAGCAAAUGAAAAUUAAAAUCCACCAAUGACUAUCAUUAGUUUUCUUAUCUACAAUUUUUUGACAAAUGCUACCUUCAAUUAUUAACAAUUUAGAUAUUAAUUUUUAAUAUUUUUUUUUAUCUUACACCCAUUCAAGUAAUGUUUCUUUAAGCAUUGGAACAUCAAUUUUUAGUUUAUUUUUAGAUUAACUUAACAAUAUAUUUAAAUCAUUAAGCUUUCUUAAACACUAAUAUAUUGCAUUCGGUAUUCACUUUUAAUUGAUAACAUUAUAAAUUAUAAUAUUUAGAUACACAUAAUAAUAAUCUCACCUAAUAACUAAUAAUAUUUUUUUUUUUAAUUUUUAAUUGUAUCACUUUCAAAUAAUAUAGAAAAAAAAAAUUAGCAUAAAAUUUAAUAUACGUGUCUCGCACCUAGUAUAUAUAUAUAUUUUAAGGGUGACUAUUCAAUGGUUACAUUUUUAUUGUAACCAUAUGGCUACAUUUUUUUUACCUAUAAAAGCAGGUUACUAAUAGGUAGACAUUCUUUUUUUAGAAUUAAUUAAUUAUAAUUACCUAUUUUUUAAAAAUAAUUAAUUAAAUAUUUAACAAGAUGUCUUUUAGCAAUUAAUAUUUAUAUUUAAAUCCUUACUCUAAUUAUUUUAAUAAUUAAGUCAUUUAAUUAUAAUAUUUACAAUAAAA
Molecule: long non-coding RNA, 2783 nt
Organism: Cannabis sativa
Lineage: Eukaryota; Viridiplantae; Streptophyta; Magnoliopsida; Rosales; Cannabaceae
Exons: 3
Source: RefSeq, a predicted model, not a curated record